RNAcentral lists this ribosomal RNA (425 nucleotides) under uncultured bacterium. RNAcentral describes it as "bacterial SSU rRNA". It matches the Rfam family "Bacterial small subunit ribosomal RNA", at positions 917 to 1345 of the family's 1533-position model. The record is from RNAcentral.
GGGUCCGCACAAGCGGUGGAGCAUGUGGUUUAAUUCGAUAAUACGCGAGGAACCUUACCUAGGCUAGAAUGCGAGUGACAUCCAGAGAGAUCUGGAGUUCUUCGGACACAAAGCAAGGUGCUGCAUGGUUGUCGUCAGCUCGUGCCGUGAGGUGUUGGGUUAAGUCCCGCAACGAGCGCAACCCCUGUUUUUAGUUGCCAGCAAGUAAUGUUGGGGACUCUAGAAAGACUGCCUGCGUAAGCAGAGAGGAAGGAGGGGACGACGUCAAAUCAGCAUGGCCCUUAUGCCUAGGGCUACACACGUGCUACAAUGGCGUAUACAAAGGGUAGCGAACCAGUGAUGGUAAGCCAAUCUCUAAAAGUACGUCUCAGUUCGGAUUGAAGUCUGCAACUCGACUUCAUGAAGCUGGAAUCGCUAGUAAUCGU